UGGGGAAUAUUGGACAAUGGGCGAAAGCCUGAUCCAGCCAUGCCGCGUGAGUGACGAAGGCCUUAGGGUUGUAAAGCUCUUUUGGCGGGGAAGAUAAUGACGGUACCCGCAGAAUAAGCUCCGGCUAACUUCGUGCCAGCAGCCGCGGUAAUACGAAGGGAGCUAGCGUUGUUCGGAAUCACUGGGCGUAAAGCGCACGUAGGCGGAUUGUUUAGUCAGGGGUGAAAUCCCGGGGCUCAACCUCGGAACUGCCUUUGAUACUGGCAAUCUCGAGUCCGAUAGAGGUGGGUGGAAUUCCUAGUGUAGAGGUGAAAUUCGUAGAUAUUGGGAAGAACACCAGUGGCGAAGGCGGCUCUCUGGUCCACACCUGACGCUGAGGCGCGAAAGCGUGGGAGCAAACAGGAUUAGAUACCCAGGUAGUCCCUGAGCGGGCUGGCAAGGCGCAU
RNAcentral lists this ribosomal RNA (446 nucleotides) under uncultured bacterium. RNAcentral describes it as "bacterial SSU rRNA". It matches the Rfam family "Bacterial small subunit ribosomal RNA", at positions 355 to 825 of the family's 1533-position model. The record is from RNAcentral.